AGCAGCCGCGGUAAUUCCAGCUCCAAUAGCGUAUAUUAAAGUUGUUGCAGUUAAAAAGCUCGUAGUUGAAUUUCGGGAUCAAUAUAUCGGUCGUGCCUUGGUACGUACUGGUAUCAUUGGUCUCUCCUUUCUGACGAACCAUGAUGUCAUUAAUUUGGUGUUAUGGGAAGUUAGGACUGUUACUUUGAAAAAAUUAGAGUGUUUAAAGCAGGCUUUGGCUUGAAUACAUUAGCAUGGAAUAAUGAAAUAGGACGUUCGAACCUAUUUUGUUGGUUUCUAGGAUCAACGUAAUGAUUAAUAGGGAUAGUUGGGGGCAUUAGUAUUCAAUUGUCAGAGGUGAAAUUCUUGGAUUUAUUGAAGACUAACUACUGCGAAAGCAUUUGCCAAGGAUGUUUUCAUUAAUCAAGAACGAAAGUUAGGGGAUCGAAGACGAUCAGAUACCGUCGUAGUCUUAACCAUAAACUAUGCCGACUAGGGAUCGGAUGAUGUUAAUUUUUUAAUGACUCA
RNAcentral lists this ribosomal RNA (507 nucleotides) under uncultured Glomus. RNAcentral describes it as "SSU rRNA". It matches the Rfam family "Eukaryotic small subunit ribosomal RNA", at positions 569 to 1078 of the family's 1831-position model. Lineage: Eukaryota; Fungi; Glomeromycota; Glomeromycetes; Glomerales; Glomeraceae. The record is from RNAcentral.